Molecule: ribosomal RNA, 254 nt
Filed under: uncultured bacterium
Lineage: Bacteria
Description: partial 16S ribosomal RNA
Rfam family: Bacterial small subunit ribosomal RNA
Source: RNAcentral
UACGUAGGGUGCGAGCGUUAAUCGGAAUUACUGGGCGUAAAGCGUGCGCAGGCGGUUUUGUAAGCCAGAUGUGAAAUCCCCGGGCUUAACCUGGGAAUGGCAUUUGGGACUGCAAGGCUGGAGUUUGGCAGAGGAGACUGGAAUUCCUGGUGUAGCAGUGAAAUGCGUAGAUAUCUGGAGGAACACCGGUGGCGAAGGCGGCAUCCUGGACCAACACUGACGCUGAGUGAGCGAAAGCCAGGGGAGCAAACGGG